CCAUAGAUCAUACAUAGCUGGUAGGUAGCAUUAGUUCCUAGCCUUAGUUUUCAAAGCUCAAACAACUUCAGUUAUACUUAUUUAUUAUUAAAAGAAAAAAAUAAUAUAAAGAGUCAUAUUAGUGACAUUAUUAAUACAAGCAUCCAUAUGGAUAGUUAAUAAAUUCAAAUAAUAUUUUUAGGUGACUAAAAAUUGUUAAUCUUCAUAUGGAUAUAAAUUGUUUCGACAUAAGUGCUCUUUUCCAAGCAAAGUACAU
Molecule: long non-coding RNA, 256 nt
Filed under: Elaeis guineensis (African oil palm)
Lineage: Eukaryota; Viridiplantae; Streptophyta; Magnoliopsida; Arecales; Arecaceae
Description: long non-coding RNA (EGUI_LNC058230)
Source: RNAcentral